RNAcentral lists this long non-coding RNA (565 nucleotides) under Helianthus annuus (common sunflower). Lineage: Eukaryota; Viridiplantae; Streptophyta; Magnoliopsida; Asterales; Asteraceae. The record is from RNAcentral.
GAAGACUUAUCCUUAUUCAUCCAUUUUCAAGAUAUUUUACACAUUCCAAAGCACAUACAUAUCCUUCCUUUCUUUCACUAAUUUUCGGCCAACAACUAGCAAAAAUCAUCUUCAUUUCAAGCCAUUUUCGUGAUGAUCAAAGUGUACUUUCAAGGAGCAUAAGAAGAUCUAAGACAUCUCCAAGUUGAACCAUCUAUUUUCAUUCAUCUUAGAGCUUUCAACCAUCAUAAUCUUCAUCAUCUCUGCUCAUCAUCUUCAUCUAGAUCUUCCCUAGCCACAAGAGCUAGUAAAAAUGAUAUGUUUUGAUAACAUGGAAAAGGAAUUAGUGGACCAUGUCCGGAAUUUCAGACAAGAAAACAAGUAUCAAGACUCCAUGCCAUCUUUUGAAGGGUUUGCCUGUUAUAUACCGCCUCUUUGCGACAAUAUAGUGGUAAAAGCCUUAGUAGUUUAAAACUUGCGUUUUGAUGUAUGAAACAAUGACAAUUUAUUUUCAGCUAAUGGUUUGUAACCGAUACACUUAACUCGUGUUGUGUACUUUUGAAACAAUCAUGGCAAUGGCAUUGGA